UGGGUAGAACUUGUUGUUCCUCCUUUUU
Molecule: non-coding RNA, 28 nt
Filed under: Mus musculus (house mouse)
Lineage: Eukaryota; Metazoa; Chordata; Mammalia; Rodentia; Muridae
Source: RNAcentral